Molecule: small nuclear RNA, 57 nt
Filed under: Cavia porcellus (domestic guinea pig)
Lineage: Eukaryota; Metazoa; Chordata; Mammalia; Rodentia; Caviidae
Source: RNAcentral
GUGCUUGCUUGGGUAGCACAUACAGUAAAAUUGGAACGAUAUAGAGAAGAUUAGUAU